GCCGGGCAUUGUGGCGGGCGCCUGCAGUCCCAGCUACUUGGGAGGUAGAGGCAGGAGACUCGCUUGAGCCCAGGAGUUGGAGGUUGCUGUGAGCUGAGAUGCCACGGCACUCUGCCCAGAGGGACAGCUUGAGGCUCCUGUCUCAAAAAAAAAAAAAAAAAACCAUUAAUAACUUUACUAGUUAUAAACUUUUUUUUUUUUUUUUUUUUUUUUUUUUGAGACAGAGCCUCAAGCUGUCCCCCUGGGUAGAGUGCCAUGGCAUUACAGCUCACAGCAACCUCCAACUCCUGGGCUCAAGCGAGUCUCCUGCCUCCG
This 315-nucleotide signal recognition particle RNA is filed under the name Otolemur garnettii (small-eared galago). Its description in RNAcentral is "Metazoan signal recognition particle RNA". It matches the Rfam family "Metazoan signal recognition particle RNA". From Rfam's summary of the family: The signal recognition particle (SRP) is a universally conserved ribonucleoprotein. The record is from Rfam by way of RNAcentral. Lineage: Eukaryota; Metazoa; Chordata; Mammalia; Primates; Galagidae.